UACGUAGGGGGCAAGCGUUGUCCGGAUUUAUUGGGCGUAAAGAGCGUGUAGGCGGUCUGGUAGGUCCGUUGUGAAAACUCGAGGCUCAACCUCGAGACGCCGAUGGAAACCAUCAGACUAGAGUCCGGAAGAGGAGAGUGGAAUUCCUGGUGUAGCGGUGAAAUGCGCAGAUAUCAGGAAGAACACCCGUGGCUAAGCGGCUCUCUAGUACGGUACUGACGCUGAGACGCGAAAGCGUGGGGAGCGAACAGG
This 252-nucleotide ribosomal RNA is filed under the name uncultured bacterium. RNAcentral's name for it is "partial 16S ribosomal RNA". It matches the Rfam family "Bacterial small subunit ribosomal RNA", at positions 524 to 776 of the family's 1533-position model. The record is from RNAcentral.